This 273-nucleotide unclassified non-coding RNA is filed under the name uncultured fungus. RNAcentral's name for it is "partial contains small subunit ribosomal RNA, internal transcribed spacer 1, and 5.8S ribosomal RNA". The stretch from base 1 to 73 matches the Rfam family "Eukaryotic small subunit ribosomal RNA", at positions 1759 to 1831 of the family's 1831-position model. The record is from RNAcentral. Lineage: Eukaryota; Fungi.
UCAAACUUGGUCAUUUAGAGGAAGUAAAAGUCGUAACAAGGUUUCCGUAGGUGAACCUGCGGAAGGAUCAUUAUAAAAAAAAAAGAUCAUUAUUCACACCUUUGUGCACUCUUUUUUGGAGAAAAGAGAGAGUAAAGAAAUUUUUCUCUUUUUUCUCUUUUUUUUUUUUUCCUUUAGUCUUAGCUUUUGUCUAAAGAAUUUGGGAAAUAACAAAAUUUUAAUACAACUUUCAACAACGGAUCUCUUGGCUCUCGCAUCGAUGAAGAACGCAGC